CAACAGGGAUUGCCCCAGUAACGGCGAGUGAAGCGGCAACAGCUCAAAUUUGAAAUCUGGCUCUCGGGCCCGAGUUGUAAUUUGUAGAGGAUGCUUUUGGUGAGGUGCCUUCCGAGUUCCCUGGAACGGGACGCCAUAGAGGGUGAGAGCCCCGUCUGGUUGGACGCCGAACCUCUGUAAAGCUCCUUCGACGAGUCGAGUAGUUUGGGAAUGCUGCUCUAAAUGGGAGGUAUAUGUCUUCUAAAGCUAAAUACCGGCCAGAGACCGAUAGCGCACAAGUAGAGUGAUCGAAAGAUGAAAAGAACUUUGAAAAGAGAGUUAAACAGUACGUGAAAUUGUUGAAAGGGAAGCGCUUGUGACCAGACUUGGGCUUGGUUGAUCAUCCGGGGUUCUCCCCGGUGCACUCUUCCGGCCCAGGCCAGCAUCAGUUCGCCCUGGGGGACAAAGGCAUCGGGAACGUGGCUCUCUCCGGGGAGUGUUA
RNAcentral lists this non-coding RNA (481 nucleotides) under Fusarium solani. RNAcentral describes it as "sequence contains ITS2, 28S rRNA gene". It matches the Rfam family "Eukaryotic large subunit ribosomal RNA", at positions 66 to 558 of the family's 3401-position model. The record is from RNAcentral. Lineage: Eukaryota; Fungi; Ascomycota; Sordariomycetes; Hypocreales; Nectriaceae. RNAcentral also lists the same sequence under 2 other names.